UUGGAGGGCAAGUCUGGUGCCAGCAGCCGCGGUAAUUCCAGCUCCAAUAGCGUAUAUUAAAGUUGUUGCAGUUAAAAAGCUCGUAGUUGAAUUUCGGGGUCAGUAGGUUGGUCGUGCCACUGGUACGUACUGGUCUCGCUGAUUCCUCCUUCCUGAUGAACCGUAAUGCCAUUAAUUUGGUGUUGCGGGGAGACUGGACUGUUACUUUGAAAAAAUUAGGGUGUUUAAAGCAGGCUAACGCUUGAAUACAUUAGCAUGGAAUAAUGAAAUAGGACGUUCGAUCCUAUUUUGUUGGUUUCUAGGAUUGACGUAAUGAUUAAUAGGGAUAGUUGGGGGCAUUAGUAUUCAAUUGUCAGAGGUGAAAUUCUUGGAUUUAUUGAAGACUAACUACUGCGAAAGCAUUUGCCAAGGAUGUUUUCAUUAAUCAAGAACGAAAGUUAGGGGAUCGAAGACGAUCAGAUACCGUCGUAGUCUUAACCAUAAACUAUGCCGACUAGGGAUCGGAUGAUGUUAAUUUCUUAAUGACUCAUUCGGCGCCUUACGGGAAAC
This 549-nucleotide ribosomal RNA is filed under the name uncultured Glomus. RNAcentral's name for it is "SSU rRNA". It matches the Rfam family "Eukaryotic small subunit ribosomal RNA", at positions 548 to 1098 of the family's 1831-position model. The record is from RNAcentral. Lineage: Eukaryota; Fungi; Glomeromycota; Glomeromycetes; Glomerales; Glomeraceae.